Molecule: long non-coding RNA, 1156 nt
Organism: Oryzias latipes (Japanese medaka)
Lineage: Eukaryota; Metazoa; Chordata; Actinopteri; Beloniformes; Adrianichthyidae
Source: RefSeq, a predicted model, not a curated record
UCAGAAGCAAACGUGACAAACUGCACGGUUCUGAGUCGCAUCUGCAGACGGCAGAGCAGGAUCUACCUGCAGACAAAGAUCAGCUGUCCAGCAGGUGUACCCCGCGAUGGAGGAUAGGGGGUUCCUGUUGGCCGUCGUGUUUUUGCAUCCAACCCGAGGAUCUGGGGGGGGGGGGGUCCAGCCUCCUGUUUUGUUUCCUAGCGACGGCGGUGGCGCUGUCUGGCGGUGGGGAACCAGCAGGAAUCCAGGAUAAAGCUCAGCGAGCCGGGAUAAGCCUAAACACACCGCGGGGGGAUUUGUGAGCGUAAUGAGCAGGUCGUCUGCUCGCCACACGAACGCUCACAUGGACGGAUCUGGGGGAGGAAGAGCUUCACUGAAUCACUCCGGUCCGGUUUCUCCUCUGACAGAUGCCGUCCUCUGCAGAGGGCUGAUUCUAAAAAUGGAACCAACUGGAGCCAGGUUAGUUCACCGGGAAACCACUAGAGGGCGUUUCAAACAUACUGAGGCUCCACCGCCAUGAAAGACUGCUUCACAUUCAUGGAACUUUCACGCCACUGCACGCCACGCACUGAUGGACAGCUGAAGGAUGGCGUGGUGAUUGGUGAUUCUGUUCAGGAAACCCGGACCGUCACCGGUCAGGAACACUUCCUGUUUGUCCAGAAUAACACACCGAUGUCAAUCAGGAAAGAUAUCGACAGACAGACGACACGUUGACAGUUUUUUUCAUCUCUGACUGUGUCCGUCACAGGAUUCUGAUCUUCUGGUUCUGAUGGUUUGACAGUCUUUCAGCUGCCUCAGCGGUUCUGGUUUCCUCUGUCUGGUCAUUUGGCCGUUUUGGGUUUUCUUAAGUUUGUUUAAGUUGUUAAAUUUUUAUUAAACCUGAACACAAAAAGCUGUAAAUUCUCCUGAAUCUUUAAGUUCCUGGAAAGCUAAAAACAUUCGGUGACAGAGAUGACUUUAGGAGCGGAGCGCCGAGUCAAACUUUGAGGAAAGGAUUUGAAUUCACUUCAUUUUUGGUGUUGCACAUUCUCUGCUCUCAGAGCUGAUCUAGUUCAUCUAUAUCUGCUUCUAAUUGCUGGUUCUAUUGAUGUGCCUGAACUGUUUUUAAACGUCAUUACAACAAAGCUUCUAUUCUGUUUCUAUUAAAGACUGUGUU